RNAcentral lists this ribosomal RNA (195 nucleotides) under uncultured bacterium. RNAcentral's name for it is "partial 16S ribosomal RNA". It matches the Rfam family "Bacterial small subunit ribosomal RNA", at positions 1297 to 1500 of the family's 1533-position model. The record is from RNAcentral.
AUUGCAGGCUGCAACUCGCCUGCAUGAAGGCGGAAUUGCUAGUAAUCGCGAAUCAGAAUGUCGCGGUGAAUACGUUCCCGGGCCUUGUACACACCGCCCGUCAAGCCAUGGGAGCCGGGGGUACCUGAAGUGCGUGACCGCAAGGAGCGCCCUAAGGUAAAACCGGUGACUGGGGCUAAGUCGUAACAAGGUAUC